GAUUGCGUCCGAGAUUCGAGAUGAGUUCGACUGGUUUGUGCUGGCCUUCUCUUAUAUCACACUCAUCGAGGAUAAUAAUAGUGUUCGAAGGACGUCCUUAACGGUAUCUAGACGUUAAGGGAGUUUUGGGAACUAUAUGUUAGGUGUAUCUAACUUAUCGAGGAUAACAACAUCGAUGGAGGAUGUAAUAUCACGAAAAUAUCAGUGUAGAAAAGCUCUCAAAUCUUCAUCGCCAUCUUAGUGCAACAAAAACUCACGUAAUUCCGAAUGGAAGUUUGAAACUAAGUCCUGCUACAGUGAUAAGAAAUUAUUAUGAAAUGUAUUAUUCUGCGUAGUGAAUACCAGCCUUAACCAGCUUUAAUGGUCACUUUUUAUCAAUGAAAGUUAACGCCACUUCAGAGAUAAGCAUAAUAAUUUAAAGGAAUGCAAUUUUA
Long non-coding RNA from Drosophila sechellia, 434 nucleotides. RefSeq lists it as uncharacterized. The record is from RefSeq and is a predicted model, not a curated record. Lineage: Eukaryota; Metazoa; Arthropoda; Insecta; Diptera; Drosophilidae. The transcript is spliced from 2 exons.